CCUACGGGUGGCUGCAGUGGGGAAUAUUGGACAAUGGGCGCAAGCCUGAUCCAGCAAUGCCGCGUGUGUGAAGAAGGCCUUCGGGUUGUAAAGCACUUUUAUCAGGAGCGAAAUACUACCGGCUAAUACCCGGUGGGGCUGACGGUACCUGAGGAAUAAGCACCGGCUAACUUCGUGCCAGCAGCCGCGGUAAUACGAAGGGUGCAAGCGUUGAUCGGAAUUACUGUGCGUAGUUUGUGCGUAGGCCGUUGAAAUCCCCGGGCUCAACCUGGGAAUGGCAGUGGAUACUGGCAAGCUAGAGUGUGUCAGAGGAUGGUGGAAUUCCCGGUGUAGCGGUGAAAUGCGUAGAGAUCGGGAGGAACAUCAGUGGCGAAGGCGGCCAUCUGGGACAACACUGACGCUGAGGCACGAAAGCGUGGGGAGCAAACAGGAUUAGAUACCCCAGUAGUC
RNAcentral lists this ribosomal RNA (450 nucleotides) under uncultured bacterium. RNAcentral's name for it is "partial 16S ribosomal RNA". It matches the Rfam family "Bacterial small subunit ribosomal RNA", at positions 338 to 795 of the family's 1533-position model. The record is from RNAcentral.